GCCCAGGUAGCUCAACCUGGCAGAGCGCCUCAUUUGUAAUGAGGGGGUUGAAGGUUCGACUCCUUUCCUGGGCU
RNAcentral lists this transfer RNA (74 nucleotides) under Candidatus Omnitrophota bacterium. Its description in RNAcentral is "Candidatus Omnitrophica bacterium tRNA-Thr". It matches the Rfam family "tRNA". Rfam says of the family: Transfer RNA (tRNA) molecules are approximately 80 nucleotides in length. Their secondary structure includes four short double-helical elements and three loops (D, anti-codon, and T loops). The record is from RNAcentral. Lineage: Bacteria; Pseudomonadati; Candidatus Omnitrophota.